AAACAGAUUAGAUCUGGUAGUCACGCCCUAAACAGUCAAUUAGUUGUUGGGGGUUUGAAUCCUGUAGCGUAGCUACGCGUGAAAUGCCGCCUGGGGAGUACGCGCAAGGUUAAAACUCAAAGGAAUUGACGGGGACCCGCACAAGCGGUGGAUGAUGGAUUAAUUCGAUGCACGGAAGCCUUCGCUCUUACAUUCAGGAAGUCUCAGAAUGAGGCCAAAGGACCUGAACCAGGUUGCAUGGCUUCAGCUCGUGUCGGAUAUUUGUAAGUCCCAGAGCGCAACCCUUGUCAUUAGUGCCAUCAUAAGUUGGGCCUUAAUGAGACCGUCAACCGAGGAAGGUGGGGAUGACGUCAAGUCCUCAUGGCCCUAUGACAGGUUCACACGUCAACAAUGGUGGUACAGAGGGUAGAACCCGGGGGAGCCAUUCCAAAGCGAUCCGUAGUCAUGGAUCAGCCUCUGCAAUCUCUGACUGUGAAUGUCUGGAACCGCUAAAUGAGCAG
RNAcentral lists this ribosomal RNA (500 nucleotides) under Pseudogulbenkiania sp. Its description in RNAcentral is "bacterial SSU rRNA". It matches the Rfam family "Bacterial small subunit ribosomal RNA", at positions 770 to 1347 of the family's 1533-position model. Lineage: Bacteria; Pseudomonadati; Pseudomonadota; Betaproteobacteria; Neisseriales; Chromobacteriaceae. The record is from RNAcentral.